AACGAACGCUGGCGGCAUGCCUAAUACAUGCAAGUCGAACGCUGCAACUUGGUGCUUGCACCGAGCGGAUGAGUUGCGAACGGAUGAGUAACGCGUAUGUAACCUACCUGAUAGCGGGGUAUGACUAUUUCAAACGAUAGCUAAUACCCCAUAAGAGUACAUGUUGAAAUACAUUUGCUUAAAAUGUGCAAUUUCACCACUACAAGGUGGACCUGCGUUUUAUUUGCUAGUUGGUGGGGUAGCGGCUCACCAAGGGGUCGAUACAUAGCCGGCCUGAGAGGGUGAGCGGCCACACUGGGACUGGAGCACGGCCCAGACCCCUGCGGGAGGGAGCAGGAGGGAAUCCUCGGGAAUGGACGGAAGGCUGACCGAGCAACGCCGCGUGAGUGAAGAAGGUUGUCGGAUCGUGAAAGUCGGUAGUACGAGAGGAACGAGUGUGAGUGUGGAAAGGUCAGAUUGUGACGGUACCUUACCAAAAAGCGACGGCUAACUACGUG
This 497-nucleotide ribosomal RNA is filed under the name uncultured bacterium. RNAcentral's name for it is "partial 16S ribosomal RNA". It matches the Rfam family "Bacterial small subunit ribosomal RNA", at positions 29 to 507 of the family's 1533-position model. The record is from RNAcentral.